Molecule: ribosomal RNA, 424 nt
Filed under: uncultured bacterium
Lineage: Bacteria
Description: bacterial SSU rRNA
Rfam family: Bacterial small subunit ribosomal RNA
Source: RNAcentral
GAAUAUUGGACAAUGGGGGGAACCCUGAUCCAGCCAUGCCGCGUGUGUGAAGAAGGCCUCUUGGUUGUAAAGCACUUUAAGCGAGGAGGAGGAUACUCUAGUUAAUACCUAGAGAGAGUGGACGCUACUCGCAGAAUCAGCACCGGCUAACUCUGUCCCCGCAGCCGCGGUAAUCCAGAGGGUGCAUGCGUUAAUCGGAUUUACUGGGCGUAAAGCGCGCGUAGGUGGCCAGUUAAGUCAAAUGUGAAAUCCCCGAGCUUAACUUGGGAAUUGCAUUCGAUACUGGUUGGCUAGAGUAUGGGAGAGGAUGGUAGAAUUCCAGGUGUAGCGGUGAAAUGCGUAGAGAUCUGGAGGAAUACCGAUGGCGAAGGCAGCCAUCUGGCCUAAUACUGACACUGAGGUGCGAAAGCAUGGGGAGCAAACA